UACGAAGGGGGCUAGCGUUGCUCGGAAUUACUGGGCGUAAAGCGCGCGUAGGCGGAUCGUUAAGUCGGGGGUGAAAUCCUGGAGCUCAACUCCAGAACUGCCUUCGAUACUGGCGAUCUUGAGUCCGGGAGAGGUGAGUGGAACUCCGAGUGUAGAGGUGAAAUUCUAGAUAUUCGGAAGAACACCAGUGGCGAAGGCGGCUCACUGGCUCGGAACUGACGCUGAGGUGCGAAAGCGUGGGGAGCAAACAGG
Molecule: ribosomal RNA, 252 nt
Filed under: uncultured bacterium
Lineage: Bacteria
Description: partial 16S ribosomal RNA
Rfam family: Bacterial small subunit ribosomal RNA
Source: RNAcentral